GAUGGUAUAGCUUACUGGUAAAGUGCUUGCCUGUCAUGCAGGAGGUCCUGGGUUCAAUUCCCAGUACCGCCA
Camelus ferus (Wild Bactrian camel) is the source of this 72-nucleotide transfer RNA. It matches the Rfam family "tRNA". Rfam says of the family: Transfer RNA (tRNA) molecules are approximately 80 nucleotides in length. Their secondary structure includes four short double-helical elements and three loops (D, anti-codon, and T loops). Further hydrogen bonds mediate the characteristic L-shaped molecular structure. tRNAs have two regions of fundamental functional importance: the anti-codon, which is responsible for specific mRNA codon recognition, and the 3' end, to which the tRNAs corresponding amino acid is attached (by aminoacyl-tRNA synthetases). tRNAs cope with the degeneracy of the genetic code in two manners: having more than one tRNA (with a specific anti-codon) for a particular amino acid; and 'wobble' base-pairing, i.e. permitting non-standard base-pairing at the 3rd anti-codon position. NCBI's taxonomy places the organism in Eukaryota, Metazoa, Chordata, Mammalia, Artiodactyla, Camelidae. The record is from Rfam.